GUGUUCACUUUGGCAGCACAUUUUUGAAAUUUAGAAUGAUACAGAGAAUAUUACCAUGGCCCUUGAGCAAGGAUAUCAAAUUAAAAAAAAGUUCCAUAUUUUU
Gracilinanus agilis (Agile Gracile Mouse Opossum) is the source of this 103-nucleotide small nuclear RNA. NCBI's taxonomy places the organism in Eukaryota, Metazoa, Chordata, Mammalia, Didelphimorphia, Didelphidae. The record is from RefSeq and is a predicted model, not a curated record.